AAGCUUUAGAAUGCACAGAAAAGCAAAGAGCGGAAACCCUCUUUUCGGUAAAACUCCUUUUUCUCGAAAAUCGUCCAUCAGAUCUGAAAUCUGUCAGUGCCAUUGGUUCCAGAACAGCUGAACCGAUCGAAACGAGCUAUUGGAUCGCUAUGAACGGAGUCCGAUACUUGCCGAAAGCCAACUCUACUCUGUAACUUCUCCGAAAAAAUUGGGUUACUAUUCACUUUAAGUGAAAACUAAUAAUCACGUAACUUCUCCGUUCUAGCUCAUUUUCUCCUGAAACUUGACGAGUGCUUAUAUAAUUAAAUUACACACAUAAACAUCAUCAACAGAGAGUUUAGUUGUACUGUCAAAAAUCUCAGUCCUUACAUGUGAUUGGAGGUAUUGUAGCUGUUGGUCCUAUCACCUAUACAUAUAUUGACCAGGAGCGAACUCCAAUGCGAAAUUUG
RNAcentral lists this long non-coding RNA (449 nucleotides) under Ananas comosus (pineapple). Its description in RNAcentral is "long non-coding RNA (ACOM_LNC042241)". The record is from RNAcentral. Lineage: Eukaryota; Viridiplantae; Streptophyta; Magnoliopsida; Poales; Bromeliaceae.